Molecule: ribosomal RNA, 369 nt
Filed under: uncultured bacterium
Lineage: Bacteria
Description: bacterial SSU rRNA
Rfam family: Bacterial small subunit ribosomal RNA
Source: RNAcentral
GUAGGGUGCAGGCGUUAAUCGGAAUUACUGAGCGUAAAGCGUGCGCAGGCGGCUCCUUAAGUCAGAUGUGAAAUCCCCGGGCUUAACCUGGGAACUGCGUUUGAAACUGAGGAGCUCGAGUGUGGAAGAGGGGGGUGGAAUUCCAGGUGUAGCAGUGAAAUGCGUAGAGAUCUGGAGGAACACCGAUGGCGAAGGCAGCCCCCUGGGCUAACACUGACGCUCAUGCACGAAAGCGUGGGGAGCAAACAGGAUUAGAUACCCUGGUAGUCCACGCCCUAAACGAUGUCAACUGGUUGUCGGGGAAGCAAUUCCUUGGUAACGAAGCUAACGCGCGAAGUUGACCGCCUGGGGAGUACGGCCGCAAGGUUA